This 253-nucleotide ribosomal RNA is filed under the name uncultured bacterium. Its description in RNAcentral is "partial 16S ribosomal RNA". It matches the Rfam family "Bacterial small subunit ribosomal RNA", at positions 524 to 776 of the family's 1533-position model. The record is from RNAcentral.
UACGUAGGGUGCAAGCGUUGUCCGGAAUUAUUGGGCGUAAAGAGCUCGUAGGCGGUUUGUCGCGUCGAAUGUGAAAACCCGGGGCUCAACCCCGGGCCUGCAUUCGAUACGGGCAGACUAGAGUUCGGUAGGGGAGUCUGGAAUUCCUGGUGUAGCGGUGAAAUGCGCAGAUAUCAGGAGGAACACCGGUGGCGAAGGCGGGACUCUGGGCCGAUACUGACGCUGAGGAGCGAAAGCCAGGGGAGCAAACGGG